UUGACCUCUCAAAAAUUUAUAAUUUAAUUUUGACCCCAACUAAAAUAAUUUUCGAUUUCACCCCUGACUUUAAAUAUUAGAAUCUAAAUAUGAAUCAUAUUUUAAAUGAACCUAAUUAUUUUAUCAAAAUUUAAUUUUAAAUCUAAUAUUUUUAUUCAAAUUCUCUUUAAUAUCCUGCCUUAAAUGAGUACUCCACUUUUGAAAAAGUGGUAGUUGUUGAUAUUUCAUUUAUAGUUAUUGUUGUAGGCCAAUUUUGGGCCUGUUACAACCAAUACUAGCCUACCACCCCAAUAAACCCAAACAACCAGAUCAACACUCAUUUACAUUACAAAAUACCCACAGUCCAACAACCUAAAACACCCCUUAACCCACUAACCUAACCCACUAACCUAAACCCAAGACCCAAUAUUACCAAACCCAAUUAACCCACUCAAAACCCUUGGCCCAACAAAAAUAGCCCAACAUCAAAAACAAAAAAACAAAAAUAAGAAACCCUAGUCCCCUAAAGCUAUAGCCGCCGACCUAAUCCCCAACUGCCCUCUGCACCAUUGACCGCCUGCACCACCGGUCACCUCAGCACCGCCAUUCAACCACCACUUGCUCCAACUGCUCCUGCAAGAACACGCAACAGCAACAAAAAGAAAUAGACAGUAUGACAAAAAAGGCUAUAAAAGAGGCCAAAUCUAAUUUCUUUUUUUUGGUCGGCAGUUCAAGCAAAAUAUAAUACAUACAUUAGCUUUAAAAGAAGAAAAACAAUAGAUCAGUAGGAUAGAUCGUUCGAAUCAAGAUUGAAAUCAAAGAAGGUGAUUAAAAUUUAUUGUUUUCUUUCUUUUACCGAAUCUGUUUUCUUUUCUUUUGUUUUUUUUUCUUUCUUUUACAUUUUAAUAUAUAUUUAUAUACAUAUAUAUUGUACUAUUAAAAAAAUAAUAAAAAAAAGAAACAUUACCUUUUGAACCACGCGGUGGCCGGCGACGGCGACGGAGGUGAGGUGCGGUGGCCCUCUUGGCUAAGAUCUGGAAUUUCCCAAAGAGAAGAGGAGAGCUUUCUCACCUGUUUUUUUAAAAGGCUGGUGGAAAUGAAUUUUUGGAUUUUUUUUAGGCUUUUAUAGUUCACUAAAACGACACCGUUUUAAUGCCCAAGCCUGAACGCCAAAACGGCGCCGUUUCAUCUGACCCGCAAGCGACCCGACCCAGUACCAAGGGGAUCCGCAUGUUUUUAUUUUUGGGAAUAAUUUCGCUGCGAGUCCCUCUAUUUCUUUUAUCUUUGCAAUUAAUUUUUUU
RNAcentral lists this long non-coding RNA (1280 nucleotides) under Gossypium barbadense (sea-island cotton). RNAcentral describes it as "long non-coding RNA (GBAR_LNC006011)". The record is from RNAcentral. Lineage: Eukaryota; Viridiplantae; Streptophyta; Magnoliopsida; Malvales; Malvaceae.